This 329-nucleotide unclassified non-coding RNA is filed under the name soil metagenome. RNAcentral's name for it is "partial contains 5.8S ribosomal RNA, internal transcribed spacer 2, and large subunit ribosomal RNA". The stretch from base 3 to 119 matches the Rfam family "5.8S ribosomal RNA", at positions 38 to 154 of the family's 154-position model. The record is from RNAcentral.
GAGAAGAACGUAGCGAAAUGCGAUAAGUAAUGUGAAUUGCAGAAUUCAGUGAAUCAUCGAAUCUUUGAACGCACAUUGCGCCCCCUGGUAUUCCGGGGGGCAUGCCUGUUCGAGCGUCAUUUCACCACUCAAGCCUCGCUUGGUAUUGGGCAACGCGGUCCGCCGCGUGCCUCAAAUCGACCGGCUGGGUCUUCUGUCCCCUAAGCGUUGUGGAAACUUUCGCUAAAGGGUGUUCGGGAGGCUACGCCGUAAAACAACCCCAUUUCUAAGGUUGACCUCGGAUCAGGUAGGGAUACCCGCUGAACUUAAGCAUAUCAAUAAGCGGAGGA